Molecule: long non-coding RNA, 3801 nt
Filed under: Homo sapiens (human)
Lineage: Eukaryota; Metazoa; Chordata; Mammalia; Primates; Hominidae
Description: HSALNT0088393
Source: RNAcentral
CUCCAAUAUUACACCCCUCACUACCGCUAUGUACACAGAUAGUCUGCUCCACACUCAGAAAGGUAGGGACAACACCCUAGGAUUUCCAUAAAGCUUAGAAGGAUUUCCUUCCUAAGAAAUACCCAGUUUUGCUGCCAAACACUCCUCCCCUCCUACAUGAAGGCCUGAGUCAAGAGAUAUCGUGGGUGGGAGAAGUUACCCUGCAUGUCACCAGAACCUCAGCAUGCACACUUUAAAAUGAAUUUCCAAAUGCAAAUUUGUUCCUAGAUCCACAGCAUGGCAAGUGAGAUGCAGAAGCCUGGUUCCUGGAGGAGGAGCCAGCAUUGAUUCGUGGAGGGCAGUGUCCUCUCACAGGGCUCCUCAGAAGAGCCAAACCAAUGAUUAAGCUCACGUGUUGUGAACUGCAAAGUCAUUUGAACAAUUUCAAAGCCAUCAGUGACAAAGGCUUUCUCCUGAUGGAUCUUUCUGCCCAUUGAACUAGAACACUCAUGGAAACAUGUUCAGGCUCCCUCACUCCAUGUAGGUCAGACUACAGGUAAAAUAUCCUUUCUGGUGCCAAAAACUCUUAUCAGGAUGAAGAAUUUUCCUCUAGUUUCCCUGGGGAAGAGCAAAAAAAAAAAGUAGAUAAAAAAAAAAACACAAGAAAUAGAGUAGCAGGAGUGAAGGAGAAAAAUUGAAAAGAAAGAGAUAAAUAGGGGGGGAAUUUUAAGGACCAUUAGUAAUUUACUGUGGUCCCCAAUGUUGACACAAGCAAUCAAAAUGGACCUGGAGAAGGGGAUUAUAUGGGCUGACAUUGUCUACUUUGAUCUAUACGUGCCUUAUAUUGGUAGAUCUUUAAAGAAGUUACUUGGUAUAAAGUUUAUUUGAGUGCAUUAAAAUGAGUAAAUAAUAUUGAAAAAUGUUUUCAUCCAGGCUAUGCUUUUAUGGAGGCAAUUUUACAAUUACUUAAAGUGAAGUGAAAUUGUUUUGAAUCUGCCAGACUGUAAGUUUCCUAAGGGUGGAAUCUAUGCAGGUUUUAUUUUGAGUAUUCUCGCCUUCUCAACGCCUGGUAAAACUGAGUUCAUAAAUGGUCAAUAGCUGCUUAUCUAGCAGUUAUCUGGCAGCUUCUUGCAUGUUUUCUUCAAAAGGACUCCAAAUCUACUACUUUCCAUAGACUUUCACUUUUUUUCUCCCAUUCUUCCAGACUUUUUUUUCAACAUGUUGUCAUCAGAAUUUUACACACCACAGCAUUGCCCAUCAAACAGACCUAUUACUCAUAAAUGCUGAUGUUAUUUCUACGUGAUAACGUAGAGUUGUCCUCCUUGAUUUUGGUACAAUUUUAUGGAAAGCAGGUGGUCUGCCCAUCAUUUUAUUUUGCUUUUUGGAGGAAAACUUGAUAUUUGGCACUAGGUAUGACUGUACAAAAUCUUCCUCACUAAUGUGAUUACACCGUGAGUCAAAUGAAGACUUGAAGGGGGAAAAAGAAUUUUGAAAAUGAGGUCCUUUAGCAAGACUAUUUGGACAGUAGCUAUCUUUCCCCUCUGUAGCUAUGAAAUUAAGUGGGAGAGGAGGUGGUAAAAAAGAACCAGAAAUUAGAAAGUUUUCAGGCAAGCGUGUGCAAAUUAGAACUGCAGUAGAAUGUGUUGAUUUCUAAUUUGAGGCAAUUUCCCUAGAGACAACAGAGGCGUUUUGAAAAGACCAUAGGAUUUAUCAUCAGAAGCCAUGCAUUCAUUUUCUGCUACUGCUGCAUACUAGUGGUUUUGCCUUCAACAGUCAUUUGACCUUGAACAGCCCCUUGGCCUGUCAGAAACACAAUGUCCGUGUGUGUAAGAUGAAAACAACAAUAUUUGCAUCCCACAGGGAUGAUGAAGAUGCUAUGGGUGGGGGCUUUAUGAACAAUCAACCAAGAUUUAAAUACCUUUUCCAGGAUUCAUCUCUAUGUUUCUUUUUCUUGCCUCUCCCAUUUUCUAAAAUCUUCAAGACAAUGUUAUUAUUUCUUCACACACAUCCUCCAUUUCGAACUUCUGCCCACUCCUGUUGUUUAUCUUUUCAUUCGUUUUUAUUCAAGUGGCUGCUAAGGGCUACUCUGCAAGGUGCGUGAACACACUCUCCUCAGGCUAUCCCCAAAUCAGGACAAGUCAGCUCAGAUGAGGCUCACUUUUGCUGAACUUCAGAUGCUUUUAUCAUUUUCCUUACAAUUCUCUCCUAUUUUUUGAAGUUUAGAGGAAGAAAACUGCCUGGAUGCUAAGUGUUGAAGGAAUCAGACAGAGCUUAUUACAAACAAUCUGGGUUUCUAAGUAAAAAGCAACAUGAAAUCCUUUUACCCACAUUCAGAUAGGUCUCUUGUGUUUCUUGAAGAGCAGUCGUGGGACUAGCUAACAACCUGGGGUAUCAGUGGAAAAUACUUUCCUUCAUCUGACACGAACAUGCAGGAAAAGUCUUAAUGGGACAUUGCAGUUGUUUUGCAAAAAAAUGAAAGAAAAAUCAUUCUAUGGGCUUGCUCCUCUUGACAUGGUAGCGCUCAACUCCCAAUAUAUAUCUAUGUAUCUUAUUCAGGAUAAUAAAUGAACAUUAAAAUAUUGUUUGUGUUUAAGGUCUCAGUAAGCGAUAACUACUCACAACCUGGUUGGGGUUUAUAGGAGUUCAUAAAAUAUGCCAAGAACGUCUAAGCUUUCAUUCCCUUGUAUUGAAUCUAUAGUAAGGGAAGUAUAAUAAAUGAAAAUUAGGGCCAGGCACAUUGGCUCACACCUGUAAUCCCAGCACUUUGGGAGGCCGAGGUGGGCAGAUCACUUGAGAUCAGGAGUUUGAGACAAUCCUGGCCAACAUGGUGAAACCCCAUCUCCACUAAAAAUAACAAAAACUAGCUGGGAGUGGUGGCGGGCACCUGUAGUCCCAGCUACUUGGGAGGCUGAGGCAGGAGAAUCACUUGAACCCAGGAGGCGGAGAUUGCAGUGAGCAUUGAUCGUGCCACUGCACUCCAGCCUCAGUGACAGAGCAAGAUUCUGUCUCAACAGCAACAACAACAACAACAACAACAACAACAACAACAACAAAAGAAAAAGAAAUAGAAAAUUAGGAUUUCACAAAAACAAAUUUUAAGAGGAAGAUUACAAGAUUACUCGCUAAGUUAGUGAUGCCAAAAAAGGUAACUCCAUUUUGAAUCAAUUAUGGCUUAUUUAAAAUAUCUCAUUUUUAAGGUGGAGACAUCCAUUUACACACUUACAUUGAAUGAAUAAAGACUGUCUAUUUCAUUUACUAAGUUUAUGGAUUACAUCUAAUUUAUUUAUAUUGUUACUUAAUAGUUUUUGGAUGUGUACAAUUCUGAAGAAAUAAACUAAAAUAUGCCAGUAUAAUCAUGUGUUUUAAAUAAAGUUUCCUUACAUUUCUAAUAGUUUUUGUCUUAUAGUUUUAGUUGCUAUAUUGUUGAGCACAUGUGCAUUUCAAAUAAUUUUAACUUCAUCAUUUCUAUCCCAUGGUGUUCUAGUAAAUGGUUAGCAAUUGGCUCUAGAGGAGGGGAGGAAGAAAGCCCUGAUUUGUAUCAUUUCCAAUUUCUACGGUGUAAAUAAUCACACUGUGGCCAAUUUCAAUAUGAUGUUAUUGAACAUGGAGUUAGGAAGAUAUGUUAACCAUAGGCUCUUACAAGCUGGUACCAGCUAACGCCCUAACACCACUGAUUUUACCUUUUUUUGGUGUUUAAACUUGACAUUUCCCCUUGUCUAAUCUUAAUAUUGUUACUGCUGAAUUGUUUUGGUUUGGAUUUGCCCUAUGUCUUUGCAUAUUUCUUUAUUCCCAAUCGUUAUAAAUAAAUUUUAAAUGUUUCCC